UAAAUAUGAUCAAGCUCACUGUUCUCCUCGCCUUCAUGGGGAUAUUAAGCUUUGUUAAUGGUUUUCAAGCUCUUACUAG
This 79-nucleotide non-coding RNA is filed under the name Heterosigma akashiwo. Lineage: Eukaryota; Raphidophyceae; Chattonellales; Chattonellaceae. The record is from RNAcentral.